CCUACGGGGAGCAGCAGUGAGGAAUAUUGGUCAAUGGACGAGAGUCUGAACCAGCCAAGUAGCGUGAAGGAUGACUGCCCUAUGGGUUGUAAACUUCUUUUAUAUGGGAAUAAAAUGUUCCACGUGUGGGAUUUUGUAUGUACCAUAUGAAUAAGGAUCGGCUAACUCCGUGCCAGCAGCCGCGGUAAUACGGAGGAUCCGAGCGUUAUCCGGAUUUAUUGGGUUUAAAGGGAGCGUAGGUGGAUUGUUAAGUCAGUUGUGAAAGUUUGCGGCUCAACCGUAAAAUUGCAGUUGAAACUGGCAGUCUUGAGUACAGUAGAGGUGGGCGGAAUUCGUGGUGUAGCGGUGAAAUGCUUAGAUAUCACGAAGAACUCCGAUUGCGAAGGCAGUUCACUGGACUGCAACUGACUCUGAGGCUCGAAAGUGUGGGUAUCAAACAGGAUUAGAUACCCGGGUAGUC
RNAcentral lists this ribosomal RNA (460 nucleotides) under uncultured bacterium. Its description in RNAcentral is "partial 16S ribosomal RNA". It matches the Rfam family "Bacterial small subunit ribosomal RNA", at positions 338 to 795 of the family's 1533-position model. The record is from RNAcentral.